UUGCACGCUGGCGGCAGGCCUAACACAUGCAAGUCGAGCGGAUGAAGGGAGCUUGCUCCUGGAUUCAGCGGCGGACGGGUGAGUAAUGCCUCGGAAUCUGCCUGGUAGUGGGGGAUAACGUCCGGAAACGGGCGCUAAUACCGCAUACGUCCUGAGGGAGAAAGUGGGGGAUCUUCGGACCUCACGCUAUCAGAUGAGCCUAGGUCGGAUUAGCUAGUUGGUGGGGUAAAGGCCUACCAAGGCGACGAUCCGUAACUGGUCUGAGAGGAUGAUCAGUCACACUGGAACUGAGACACGGUCCAGACUCCUACGGGAGGCAGCAGUGGGGAAUAUUGGACAAUGGGCGAAAGCCUGAUCCAGCCAUGCCGCGUGUGUGAAGAAGGUCUUCGGAUUGUAAAGCACUUUAAGUUGGGAGGAAGGGCAGUAAGUUAAUACCUUGCUGUUUUGACGUUACCAACAGAAUAAGCACCGGCUAACUUCGUG
Molecule: ribosomal RNA, 483 nt
Filed under: uncultured bacterium
Lineage: Bacteria
Description: partial 16S ribosomal RNA
Rfam family: Bacterial small subunit ribosomal RNA
Source: RNAcentral